This 322-nucleotide ribosomal RNA is filed under the name Penicillium sp. SW071. RNAcentral describes it as "LSU rRNA". It matches the Rfam family "Eukaryotic large subunit ribosomal RNA", at positions 331 to 670 of the family's 3401-position model. The record is from RNAcentral. Lineage: Eukaryota; Fungi; Ascomycota; Eurotiomycetes; Eurotiales; Aspergillaceae.
AGACCGAUAGCGAACAAGUAGAGUGAUCGAAAGAUGAAAAGCACUUUGAAAAGAGAGUUAAACAGCACGUGAAAUUGUUGAAAGGGAAGCGUUGUCCACCAGACUCGCCCGGGGGGGUUCAGCCGGCACGUGUGCCGGUGUACUCCUCUCCGGGCGGGCCAGCAUCGGUUUGGGCGGCUGGUGAAAGGCCCCGGGAAUGUGCCACCCUUCGGGGUGCCUUAUAGCCCGGGGUGCCAUGCAGCCAGCCUGGACCGAGGCCCGCGCUUCGGCGAGGAUGCUGGCGUAAUGGUGGUCAACGGCCCGUCUUGAAACACGGACCAAG